GUCUCUCUGUCUCUGUCUGUCUCUGUCUCUGUCUCUCUGUCUAUCUUGUUGUCUGUCUGUCUGUCUGUCUAUCUCUCUCUCAGGAGGUGGGUAGCUUGUUUCAUCAUCCUGGGAAGACUUUAUUCCAUUUCAGCUGCACACAGGAAAACACACCAAGCCUCAGCAUGUUGAAGAGCUGAAACGUUGUGGAUGCCAGGAUUCUGUGUGGGGGUAGAGUACCUCCUAUCAUUGGCUGCCACCACUGGAAUGAAUGUGCCUUAGUCUUAGAUGAUAUGGAAUCUGAGCAGGGCUCCUCACUCCAUCCCAGAAGAUGGACAGGCUAGCUGGAUCCAAUGGGCUUUAGUUUUCAUCCUGGGUAGAAUUCUGGGAAAGAACAUCUGAAUGUGCUUCAGUAACUGUGUCAUUGUCACAAUAUAUAUUACAUCUAGACAUUCUAAGGCAAUUCUAAGGCUCUAUGUGUGUCUAUAUACAGGCAAGGAAACUAAGGCAGAGAAAUUCAUCAAAUCACAACAUGCUGGUGCUGGAAAGGACCUUUGAAUUCAUUUACGUCUCCUACCAUCCCUUCCCAGCGUGGACCAUGGAGCAGCAGUGAGGAUUCUGGGAAACACAGAAGAAUUUGAUGACUCAGGAAUUUGAAUUCUCCUCCUGGAGUCACUGCUGUUGAUGGACUGAUUGUAGGCACCUCUGGGCACGUGGACAAAGUGAUACUUACAAAAACAACAGAUUGACAAGAGUCGAAUUCUAUGACUAACCCCCUUCACCCAUCCUCAGGCAGAAGCUCAAGUCAGAACAUGAAAUUACUCUAAUGUUUGCCCUAAAGGCCUGGAUGGUUCGACUUUUUAAUGAACUAACUGGGAAAGCACAUGGUUGACGGGAGGACCUGCUAAGUCUUAAGUCCUUGUCACGUCCUCUUAUCAGAGGGUCGGAAGAUGGGGAGAUCGCCCCAUUUCCUGAGGUUUAGGAAUAUAAUCCAGCACGAGCUUGGCAUGGUUUUGACUUGUUGGACUCCCUUCCCAAUGGUCAUCGUGAGAAUUCCUAGAAGAAAUAGGCAUGGCCAGCUCCGUCGUACACAGUGUGAAAAGAAAUGCAAUGGCUCUCUAGAGGUAAACUGAAGGGCAGGGAACAUCUGCCCUCAAUCAUGGGAGCUGGUAAGCAAAAUACAUUCCACAUGGUCCACAGCAGGCCACAACGCAUUCCAGCUGUUUAAAGAGCGCCAGAUGAAAUGAGCAGUAUCCAAGAGGAAAGAGCAUCAGGCCAGCCUCUUGCUGAGUUCCAGAACAGCUUCUGGCGGGUAGAUUAAAGAGCAAAGACUGGAAGCUUUGGAGAGUGGACUGAAGCUUGUGGCAUAAAAGAACUUUCUGAUAAUGGGAGCUAUGGCCAAAAUUGGCCCCUGAAGAACUCAGCAAAAUGUGCUGGUAUACCUUUAAAAAAAGACUGGUGGAGAAUCUGCUGACUGGAAUCCAGAUGUGGUGAGUGAAAGGCUGACUCCUUUCAUAUUGGAUUUUUCUGAAGAGACUUCUAGCCCCAGGAGAGACUUCCCCAGGUCCUCAGCUUUGCCGAUGCUUAAGGACUAACUCUCCCUGCCCGGGUUGGACCACGGAUAAUCUCCUUUGUCACAGGAUGAUGGACUCAGAAAUAAAGUGUCAUCUUAGACUGUUGUUGAAGAAAUAUCAAGUCCUGAUCUGCUCCUACUGAUCCAGUGAUCUCUUGUGUUGCAUUUCCCUGGGGCACUGAAUUACACAGUACAAGGAGGUGGAAUCAGGAUGAGAAGUGACUCAGAAGUAAUGGAGUUCACAUCAGGGCCACCUCAUAGAAGACUUCAGUGGCCGUGGUCUCGGCGCACUGGGCAAAGAGAGAACGCAGCAGCCCUGUGCCACGGCGGAUGGGCGGGAGGAGGAUUAAUGAACUCACAGCCAGAGAGGGCUUUCAUCUUCUCCCAGAGAGCAGCAGCCAAUGGAAAACACACUUCGCAAAGGCAGCCUUGUCAGUUACACAGCCGUGUCAAUUACCAGCGUUGUUAAUUACGCAGCCUCGUCAAUUACAUGUCCCUGCCCUGCUCUUUUCAGGGAGAUUUUAGUAUUCUGUUUUCGGAGUUUAUGCUUCUUAUUGAGAGACGUUUUCUCUUCCAGAUUCAUCUUGGCAGAUUAAUACCCAGCAUGAUAGCAUUCCUGUCAAUGGGCAUUUGGAAUAAUGCCUUUAAAGUUCCCUUUGAUAGCAAGGGAGCCAAAUGAUGCAUAACAUGAGGAAGGUUUGGGUUUCAUUGCUAGACACAUGAUUGAAGCCAGUGCAGAUGUCUGAUAUAAUCUUUAACUAUGUUUGCUGGGGAAUACUGUAGCCCUGUAUAUUUGACACUAGAGCCCCAAGAGUUUGAAAGAUUUUUCUGGGAACACACAGACAGUAAAUGCCAGAGAGAGAGACCUUGAACCUAGACGUUCCAGGGUUGACGCCGGCUCUCCAUCAACACACCACUCAGCCUCUUAGAAUUUUAUGAAAAUGCACUUCAAUAAAAGAUCAUGAUAACAUGUAUUUUGUUCAUGAAGAUUUACCUGGAGAGAAUUCUAGGUAAUGAUACAGAUAUGGGGAUAGUCCGGGGAUGGGAGUUUUAUAAUAUCAAUUCUAUUGUUGUUAUUACAGACAUUUAUUUCCCAUCCUUGAUUAUCUGCUCUACUGGAGUAGAACAGGGGCAUUCAAUAAUAAACAUCAAAGAGAAUUUAGUGCAGAAUUAAAAAAUCUCUUGUAUUUCUUUGGGGAAUGCAAUUUUAUACCUCUAAAUAAAUAGGAGUAUAUCUGAAGUUCUGAGAAUUCCUGCUACUUCAGCCCAAAUGGGGGAAACCUGCUGUGAAGAUGACCCAACUUCUUGCCUUCCUACUUCCUCUUUAAAUGUGCUCUCUGUGUGGCUACGAACCCAAUCGCUUCUCAGACUGAGCUUUAGCUACCAUCUUUUAUUCUUCUCAUAGAAUCACCAAAUGUGAUUUGGGAUCUCAGAGGUUAUCGAGUCCUUUAAACCUCUCAAAAAGAUUCCUUUCUAAUACUUCACUGAUCCCAUCCAACCUUAGUUUGAAGACCUCCAGUGAGGGAAGAACCCAUUGUUUCCCUGGAUGGGUAGAUCAUUCUGCUUUUGCAUACGCUUCCCUCAACUUACAGGCUUAGUUCCCUUUAAAGAUGGUUAUCCCAGCUUCAUGGUCUUCUUUGGAUCCAUAGACCUAAAACUUUUUCUCAUGAGUCCCUUCUGGAUGUGUUUAUCUUUCAGACUUAGCAAAAGAAUGCAGUUUAGUUAAAAGUCAUGGUAUUUAAUAAGAUGGACUAGAUAGAGGAGAAAAAAAUAUUUCUCCCCAAACUGGAAGCUAACAAAUACAGUCAAUAUUAGUAGGACAAAUGCAGAGGCACACGUGUAGGAAAUGUGUGGGCAGGAUGCAUAUAUAAAAAAGGCAACUCAUGCUUCAACAAUUCAGGGCUGCUAAUGCCUUCUAAUGAUGUCUCAGUGCUGAUCCAUUAAAAAUGGCGUCAAUGGUUGGGAUGUUUUUCCUUAUAUCAAGCAAAAAUCUUGUGCUCUAGAGCUUCUAACUUUUGCUCUUAGCUCUUCCAUAGAGGCCAAGAAGAAAGAGGCUCAUCCUUCUUUUACAUGAUAGGUCUACAAAUACUUAGACUAAUGCCAAUGCUCCCUCCUCAUUCCCGCUCUCCUCAACAUCUUCUGUAUUUCACAUUAAAUCCAUCAAUCUGGUUGUAGAUCUUAAGGAACAGAAAUAGAGUUGUGAACUCCCUAAAACCAGUUAUACAGGGUUUGUUGACCAAAGAACAGAUUGUCAAAGGAACAUAUGGAAAAGGACCCAAGGAUGCAUGUACUGAUUAGCUGGGCUGCCUGCUCAGUUCUUGACUCUCUUCUCAUCCCUGAGAAGCAAAGCAGCAUGCCUCAUUGGUCCAGGCAAUCCUAGCCUCAUCCAGAAUGCCAGUUAGGUUAGUGGCAAUGUCAUUUGAGGGAAAUUGCUAUUCACUAUUUUAUGCUCUGGAGGGCAAGGCAGUUGGGACCUUUGUUAAUGAAAGUGGGAGGGUACUGCUUAGAUCCAGAGGGUAGAAAUAAGAUGGGUAGAAUCUAGAGAGUGAUUUCUACUUGAUCCUGUUCCCUGUAAAUUUCUGGCAAUCACAGCUUACAGCAACCAAUUAUAUUAGGUAUUUCUGCUGUCCAUUGGAAAAAUCAGUGGGAGUAUCUAGGUGAUUCAGUGGAUAGAGAGCCAGACCUAGAGACAAGAGGUUCAAAUCUGGCCUCAGACACUUCCUAGCUGGGUGGCUCUGGGCAAGUCACUUAACUCCCAUUGCCUAGCCCUUACUGUUCUUCUGCCUUGGAACCAAUACACUUUAUUGAUUAUAAGACAGAAAGUAAGGGAUUAAAAAAAAGAGUGGUGGCCAGGGAGCCAGUCAAUUAGCAUUUAUUAAGUACUUUCUUUAUGCCAGGCAUUCUGCUAAGCACUAGGGGUACAGAAGCCCCAAACAGUCCUUACUCUCUAGAAGCUCACAGUCUAAUGGAUUUAGAGGACCUGGGUUCAAGAAUCACCUCUGAUCUUACAUAUGUGACCUUGAACAAGUUAUAGCUUCUCUGGAUCUUGGUUACUUUAUGAAAAGAAAAAGAAGUUAGACUUGAUGACUUCUAAGACUUUUCCAUCUUUAAUUCUAUGAUCUUUGUCUUGGCUUUUCUGGACUAUUUCCAUAUGUGUCCCUGUUUCUUUCCAGUGUUUUUACAUGUAUCUCAGAGUCCUAUAGCAGCUUGUUCAACAUCCUCUGGACAGAUUCCAGUUUAUCAAUCUUCUUCCUGAAAUAUAGUACCCAGAACUCAAUAUAACCCUCCAGAUUUGGUUUGACCAGUGCAGAACAGGGCAGGGCUUAACACGUCUUUCCUUAUCUCAGCAGGAGCUGAUAGUAAAGAGCUUCUAAUUUCAACAGCAAAAGCAUCUUAAGUCUUUCUCAGACAUCAUUAGUGCUCUGUGAUUUUCAGUGCCUCUUUGGAAUGGCAGCUCUUAAAAUUGUACAUGUAGAUCCCUUCUGAUGCUAGUCAUACUCCAUCCGUGUAUCAUUUAAGAACAGAGAGGUUAUUGAGAGGUGAAGCUGAAGAGGAUUCAGAUGGCAGCUUUCUUGAAUUAGAAUUUGCCUAUGAUUCAUGCUAAGAAAAAGCACUGGCAAUCAGAACAGAGAACUGGGAAGUUUUAUCUUUUUCAUAUUUGUAUGAAGGUUGUUUUCACAUUGAACUGUUGGAUAUGGGGAUAAUGAUGCAAAUCUAGAUAGAUUAUUAGGUAGAAAAUGCUUUGGUCAGCUGGACUUUAAACAAACCCGUAAUUGGCUAGGAAGGAUGGAUUAUGGGGAAGUUACGCUGCAGGCAGAUGUAGUCCCCCUGGGGUAGUGAGUGGGGCUUCUUUACCAAUCACCAUGUUUCUCGUUCAGUUACCACAUAAUCUUUUAUGGGGAAGAAAAGCUCCACACAUUCAGCAAUUUGUGAAAAUGGUUUGAGAUAGAUCAGCUUGCCUGCGAUUACUCACACUCCUGGUUGUCUUGGUGCACAUCAGAAGCCUGAUAAAUGGAUUUAGUUGUAAUGCACUUAGGAGAGAAAGGUAGAAAAUGACCUGCUUCAGUUUGCAAAUGCUGUGAAAGUGAACAUUGGAAGAGAAGACUAGAAAGGCAUUCAAGAAUAGGAGGACCAACUGAGGCUUUGCAGAAGAACAUGGCAGAAUUUGAGGAGAAGAAGGCAAGAUAGUUGGUCUAGACUAAACUUUAACCUUCUCCAAAUUACAGGAUUUCAUUAUUAAUAAUACGAAUUCUCUUUCUGUGUCUCUCUCUUUUCCCCUUCACUCUUUCCCUUUUCCUUCUAUGCCAUUCUCUCUCUCUCCCUCCCUCUCUCCUUCUCUCUGUCUCUCCAUCUCCUCUCUUUGUUUCUGUCUCUACAGUUUUCUCUCCUCCUCCCUCCUCCCUCCAUUCUUUCCUUACUCUAACCUUCUACCUUAGUGUCUACAAUACUAUGCUUUAAUUCUAAGGCAAGGGACCAGUAAAGGCUAGGCAAUGGGGGUUAAGUGACUUGCCCAGGGCCACCCAGUUAGGAAGUGUCUGAGGCCAAAUUUGAACCCAGGGCUUUCCAACUCCAGGACUGGCUCUUAAUCCACUGAACCACCUAACUGAACACUAUCCAUUCUCUUUUCUGCUUAACAGCCACAUGAGACAAGUACUAGAGAUAUCAGCAUAUCCAUUUAACAAAUGAGAAAAAUUGAUUUUUUUAGGGUCAUACUUACAUGAAGUCCAACACAUCCUUAAUAUUCCAUGGCUGCUCUCAGAAGGUAUACCAUCGAAUGAUUAUCACCUCUGAUUAUGCAUGUCAUUUUCAUUUAGCAGUUGUCAAGGAUGAAAACCACCUAUUAAUAUAUGUAUAUAUGAAAAACAUAUACCUAGGGAAAUAUAUGUGUAUAUUAUGUAGAUUAUAUAAAUAUAUGUUAUAUAGAAAUAAAUAUAUACAUAUACAUAUAAAUACAUAAUUAUUUCCCUGUAUAAUAAUGAAA
Monodelphis domestica (gray short-tailed opossum) is the source of this 6533-nucleotide non-coding RNA. The record is from RefSeq and is a predicted model, not a curated record. NCBI's taxonomy places the organism in Eukaryota, Metazoa, Chordata, Mammalia, Didelphimorphia, Didelphidae.